UUUUUUUGUUAGUAAAGAUUCACUUCUCCUGUAUAAAUAGAGAGGAAAACUAAAUCAUUUAGUGUGCACCUUACAAAAUAUAGUCUUCUAGUUAGUGAAGUGAAUGAGAUCUCUCCCAUGAAGAGUUCUUAUAUUUUCAUAUAUGUAACCCCUCUUUCUAUGAAAUUGUUGGAUUGCUAUUUAGUAAAGUGUAUUUUUUUUUUCUUAUUCCGCAACAAUAGAAUCCUCUAAAUAUGAUCCUACAACUCUCUUAGCUAGACAUGGUGGUGUAGAAUUUCCAAGGGUAUUCUUUCCGAACCCCAUGGGGAGAAAUAUUUAGAGCUAACACGUUGGAGCAAAUAAAUUAAAUCCAACAACAUGGAGAAGGAUUCACUUAGAAUGUGGGAUAAUUUCCUUAUCUUGAUGUCCCCAUAGUUAGUGUUCAUAUCCUCGAGCUUUGCGGCUCCUUGACUCUUACUCAACGACUUAUACCACAAAAUGUAGUUCAGUAGUUGUGAAUUGUGUUAAUGCGGGUCUGAUGCAAUGUUGACGUCGCCAUGUUCUAUCUCUCGUGGAUGAACAAAAUUUAGAGUAGGAUAACUUUGAUCUUGAUCUCGAGCCAAUUAUGGGCUAAAUUUCACCACCAAAAUUUUAAGUAGCCUCAUUUUUUUGCAGCAUAAUUUUGACCAGGAUCCAAUGAAGCCUGACUUUUAGAAACCUCCACAAUGUAGUCUUCAUCCAUAGUUUUACUCGUACACUCCCAUUAAUCAACAACAAUAUCAAGAAGUCUCUUAAGAUAUUGUUUCACUUUAAGACGAUAUGGAACAAUUUGAUAAUAAUUUCUAGGAUCUUUGUAAUGAUGUCGACACCCUCUAAUGACUUUGACGCUAUAACUCAUUUUGUUAUUGAUAUUUAUGCCAACUCUUGACCCGAUCCUUUGCAGCCACCGCCCCUGCCAUAUGUUCAACAUUACCUGAAUUUUCCACCACCCCUCCUCAUGAUUAGAAGGUCCGAUCCUCUCUAUGCAAUAGGAAAAUGCCACAACUUAAGCUUAGAGAGGGAAAUUCUCUAAAUUUUGUAAAAAAAAAUCAGUUUUUGCUUUGGUAGUUUUUUUUUUUUGCUUUUUUAUUUGUAAAAGAACAUUUUUUUCAUUUUAAUUUCUGUUUUUAAGAAAAAUUCAGAAAAAAUUAAAAAGAUAAAUUUCUUUUAUAAACUAGAUCAUUAUAAAAAAAAAGUUUUAUGAGAUGCUGAAACUAGUUACUUCAUAAUAUGUUAUGUAAAUGUGGAAAUGUUAGUGACCAAAAUUGAUAGUCUCAAUACACAUAGGUGUAGUAAUAGUUCUUCAUAAGUAGGGAUUUGUUAAACAUCGUGAAUUGGUAAACCAAUCAUAAAAAAGUAAAAGAAACCUUUAAAACAAUUAUAACUAUGGAGUUGUUAAACACUGUGACCAUUAAACCAACUUGGAAGUAAUUUCUUGAAACUUUUAUAAAAGAACCCAGGUGAUAAUUCUUGACUAUAUAUAACUUGGGUGUUACCUUUCAGGGUGAACCGCAAGUCUAACAACAUAUUCAUUCAACCAAAUACAAAGAUCGAAGAAAUAAGCAAAUUGUUAAAUCCCAGAUCAUAGUGGGUACCAACUGUCAAAAUCGAUAGCCAAAUGAACUUUCAAGCACCUAAAUGAAGAACUACCCAAUAAAUAUUCAAAGAAAUAAAAUUUAAGAAACUAAAGCCAAAGGCAAAAGUCACAUUUACGUUUCAAUGAAUUUGUGUGCAACCACAAAGUCAAAUAUCGUUCACAUGAAGAACCUGUGGACUAUGAUAUUGGAUACUUUCAAAAUAGUGAAAAGAUAGGUGUCGGCCCCUUCAUGUGAGCUAGUUAUUUCAUAUAAAGUUGAUAUGCCUUGUCGGAGUCUUUGAGGAUCAGUCAAGUUAGGUAACUCUAAUGAAUUUGGGUUGAAAUAAUAUUAAUUAUAAACAUGAUGUUUUUUGUAAAUAAAGUUUAUUAAUGUAUUAAUUUUAUUUAGUUUUACGAUUGGUUUAUCAUUUUGCACCAUCAAAAAAUCCUUCUAACUUUAGAUUUUGGGAUAAUACUAGAGGUGUCGAGAAUAAUGGUUAAGUUCGUGAUCCCACUAGAGUUUCUUUGGCGUGAAGUCUUAUCAUAUAAUAAAAAAUAUUGGAAGUCAUUUUUUUUUUUGUGAUGUCUUUGAUUUUUAGUUUUUUUUUUACUAUUUUACUUUAUUUUAUAAUAUUCAUUUGUAUGAUCAUAGAAUAGUUAACUUCUCUCUGCAUGAUCGUCUAUUUAGGUUCUUCGUAGCCAUCUACAAUUUACUUACCUAACUUUUAUUUUCCUCUCUCGAGUAUAAGUAAGGUUUAAGAUUGGGAGAUUUGUUAGAUUUAUUUGUAUGCUUCUUUUCUACUAGUUUUACUACCUAAUUUGUAUUCGAUUUUCUACAUUUUUGCUUGUGUAAGUGUUAAUAAAUUGGACAGUUGUUUUCUUCAGAACAUGUGUGCUGCAUAUGUUUUGAUAUCUAAUUUCAGGUAUUCAAAGCAGAGUGGGAAUUCGAAGAUAUAUUGAUGCAACAUGGAGGAAACCUAGAGCAAUUUUUGGAGCAUAACAGUAGCUUAUAGUACAUACGGAAGUUAGAGAAUGGAAGGAAGCAAUAUGUUCUGAACACCAUAAUGCAAAAAUAACCUAACACGGGAUGUGUUCACUCUGAUACAGGUUGUGUACCUUCAUUUAAAUAAUCUGAGAUGUUUUGUUUUUUUCAAAAAAAAUGAAAACCUUGAAGCAGGUAGUUUUUGUGCUGUUAAGGGUCAUGUCCCAUCCCUGGGGAUUGUGUUUCUGAUUUUGAAGAUUUAUCAGUACUAUCUCCAAACAAGGGCCGUGUUCCAAGAAAAUUUCUCAAAGUAGCAUUGUACUUCAUUUAAAGUGAUAUGGGGUUUGUUUUCCUCCGAACACGGGCUGUGUUUCUUUAAAAUUGGUUGUGUCCCAAGAGGUGUUAUCUAGCAACAUACCAAUUUUCCAAGUGCUCCAAAGCCAUAAUUGGUUAUAAGGUGUUGUAUCAGUUAUUCAUUAGUCACAAACAUCAUGUUCGACAUCAGACAUGGAUCACAAUUAAUCUCAUCUUGACUACAUAUGUCUUUCAUAUAGUUCAUCGUAUACCUAACGAUGACCCUUAUAACUGCCUUUUUACAGAACAAUGUUAAAGCAUGUCAAAGUACAACAAUUCUGAUACUUAAGUCCUACAAAUAUAUCUCAGGUUGAAGAAUACAAAUAUACUACCUUUA
This 3267-nucleotide long non-coding RNA is filed under the name Lactuca sativa (garden lettuce). RNAcentral's name for it is "long non-coding RNA (LSAT_LNC008665)". Lineage: Eukaryota; Viridiplantae; Streptophyta; Magnoliopsida; Asterales; Asteraceae. The record is from RNAcentral.